AUGGCGGUGUCGGCGUCGUCGUCGGGGGUGCGGGCGCGGGCGAGGUUGCUGGCGUGCGUGGCCGUGGCGGCGCUGCUGCUGCUCGCGCCGGGCGACGUGGACGCCGGCCGGCAUGGGCACGGGCGGGGGCGGGGGCGCGGGAGCGGGAGCGUGGCACACAGGCAUACCAAGGGCCUGCGGCCGGGGAAGGCGAUGGCGGCGAGGCCGUACCCGGCGAACGCGACGGCGGCGGAGGCGAUCGAGCGGAGGUUCACGCGGUGGGUGUGGUUCAUGGGCGGGCUUGACCACAGCGUGUUCCAGCGCGCGCUCAACCGCGCGCUGCUCCCGUCGACUCGCACGAUCGUCGUGGACAGGACGCCCGGGGCGGGAGACUUCACCACCAUCCAGGCCGCCGUGGACUCGCUCCCGCUCAUCAACCUGAUGCGCGUCGUCAUCAAGGUCAAUGCCGGCACCUACACGGAGAAGGUGAGCAUCUCGCCGCUGCGCGGGUUCGUGACGGUGGAGGGCGCGGGCGCGGACCGGACGGUGGUGCAGUGGGGCGACACGGCGGACACGGCCGGGCCCUGGGGCCGCCCCUUCGGCACCUUCGCCUCCGCCACCUUCGCCGUCAACUCGCAGUUCUUCGUCGCCAAGAACAUCACCUUCAAGAACACGGCGCCGGUGCCUCGGCCGGGCGCGCUGGGGAAGCAGGGGGUGGCGCUGCGGAUAUCGGCGGACAACGCGGCGUUCGUGGGGUGCAACUUCCUGGGCGCGCAGGACACGCUGUAUGACCACCUGGGCCGCCACUACUACAAGGACUGCUACAUCGAGGGCUCCGUCGACUUCAUCUUCGGCAACGCCCUCUCCCUCUACGAGGGUUGCCACGUGCACGCGAUCUCGCCGCACUACGGGGCGCUGACGGCGCAGAACCGGCGGAGCAUGCUGGACGACACGGGGUUCUCCUUCCUCAACUGCCGGGUGACGGGGUCGGGGGCGCUCUACCUGGGCCGCGCCUGGGGCACCUUCUCCCGCGUCGUCUUCGCCUACACCUACAUGGACAACAUCAUCAUCCCCCGCGGCUGGUACAACUGGGGCGACCCAACGCGAGAGAUGACGGUGUUCUACGGGCAGUACAAGUGCUCGGGGCCGGGGGCCAACCACGCCGGCAGGGUGGACUGGUCCCGGGAGCUCACCGACGAGGAGGCCAAGCCAUUCAUCUCCCUCAGCUUCAUCGACGGCCUCGAGUGGCUCAGGUUGUAG
RNAcentral lists this ribosomal RNA (1239 nucleotides) under Triticum aestivum (bread wheat). Its description in RNAcentral is "partial small subunit ribosomal RNA". The record is from RNAcentral. Lineage: Eukaryota; Viridiplantae; Streptophyta; Magnoliopsida; Poales; Poaceae.